Non-coding RNA from Fusarium verticillioides 7600, 1760 nucleotides. Lineage: Eukaryota; Fungi; Ascomycota; Sordariomycetes; Hypocreales; Nectriaceae. The record is from Rfam.
AAGUAUGUGCUAUUUAUAGCGCUAGCCUACAAACCUAUAAUUAUAUUAACUCUAAGAGAAAUUUAAUAAUAAACGAAGUGAAUUGAAAUAUCUUAGUAACUUUAGGAAAAGAAAUCAAAAGAGAUUCUAUGAUUAGCGUGAGCUAAAAUAGACUAGCCUAAAAAGUCAAAUGGUGGAUAAACUGUUUAAAUUAAAUGGGGAACCUUCCUCAAAGGCUAAAUAUAAUAUAUAAGCGAUAGUGGAAAGUACCGUGAGGGAACCAAAACAAAAACAGUGAUUUUAUAAGCAGUUCGGGAAAAUAAAAAAAGUUAGAACGUACCUUUUGCAUAAUGGGUCACCAAGUUAACAUUAGAUGCGAGUAGGAGGGAGCUUUAUAAAAAAAAAAUAUAUAUUUUUUUUUUAUAGCCCCGUGCAUACGUAGUUAAACCGAGCGUUAAAAUAACGGUAAGUAUCUAAAGUUAGACCCGAAGCCUGGUGAUUUUACCAUAAUCAGGAUUAUAAAAGUCCGAACGGAAUAUUGUAGCAUAAAUAUCCGAAGAAUUAUGGUAGGUGUAGUGAAAGACAAUACUGACCAGGAUAGCUGGUUUUCUGCGAAACCUAUAACAGUAGGCAAUUUAAGUAUAAUAUCUUAGCAGGUACAGAAUUUAAUCUCAGACAAGACAUAAGGCUUAGCUUGCUAGCAAGUAAAGCUCAUGUUUUAUUUUGUACAAAUUGGGGGAUCAUGAAGAUUUUAUCAGUGAGUAUGUAGACUCGGAAUGGCAAAGAUAUAUCUUAAAUCAUCAGACAUAGAAUGAUAAGGUUGUAUGUCAAAAGGGAAACAGCCCAGAACAAGAGUUAAGGUUCCUAAAUUAUUAGUUGAGUGAAAUUAAGAAGGUUUUUAUUAAAGUCGACAAGGAGAUAGGCUUAGAAGCAGCCAUAAUUUUAUGACCUCGUAACAGAGCGCUUGGUUAAGUUUUAAAAGCAUCGAAAAUUUAUCGGAUCUAAACAAUAUACCGAAACCUUGUCCAUAUUAUUUUAUAAUUAAAGCUUAAUUAUAAUUAAAUGGGGUAGCAGAACGUUGAGCUAAAUUAAGAUUUUUAUUUUUUAAAUGAAAUUAUAAUAAUUUAACUCAAGUGAUAAUGGUGACAUGAGUAACUAAAAGAAAAAAUAAAAUUUUUCCGCCUAAAGCUUAUGGAUGUAAUUAAGUAACGGCCUCUAAGUUUAUAUUAUCUAAAGAUUUAAACGAUGAGAUAAUCUUUUGUACUAAGGACGACAUUUUAAGUGAAAAAUGUACUGGAAAAAUAGUACUAAAUUAAUGGCUAUAGCUAAUUAGGGCUAUAGCUAUAAAUGAAAAGUAACCGUACCUAGAAUCUGAAACAAGUAAGCUAGUAGAGAAUACGAAGGCGUAAAUGAGCUAACAAUCAUAAAGGAACUCGGCAAAUUGACUACCGUAACUUCGGGAUAAGGAGAGCUCAUUAUUCUUGAUUAAUAUCAGGUAAAGAGGAAGAAGCAUGAAAUAGUGUUGUACGACUGUUUAAUUAAAACACAGCACUUUGCUGAAAGAUUAAAAAUCUAAGUAUAGAGUGUGAUGUCUGCCCGGUGCCGGCUGGUUAACAGAUAUAAUUAAAUAUACUAAUAUUUGAUGUAGACGGAAACCCCGGUUAAAGGCGGCCUUAACGUGAGGGUCCUAAGGUAGCGAAAUGCCUUGGCCGUUAAAUGCGGUCUUGCAUGAAUGAUGUAACGAUACAACAGCUGUCUCUAUGAUUGACUCAGUGAAAUUG